CCUACGGGGGGCUGCAGUGGGGAAUAUUGGACAAUGGGCGAAAGCCUGAUCCAGCCAUGCCGCGUGUGUGAAGAAGGCCUUCGGGUUGUAAAGCACUUUCAGUGGGGAAGAAAGCCUUGGGGCUAAUACCCUCGAGGAAGGACAUCACCCACAGAAGAAGCACCGGCUAACUCCGUGCCAGCAGCCGCGGUAAUACGGAGGGUGCGAGCGUUAAUCGGAAUUACUGGGCGUAAAGCGCGCGUAGGCGGUCUGAUAAGCCGGUUGUGAAAGCCCCGGGCUCAACCUGGGAACGGCAUCCGGAACUGUCAGGCUAGAGUCCAGGAGAGGAAGGUAGAAUUCCCGGUGUAGCGGUGAAAUGCGUAGAGAUCGGGAGGAAUACCAGUGGCGAAGGCGGCCUUCUGGACUGACACUGACGCUGAGGUGCGAAAGCGUGGGUAGCAAACAGGAUUAGAUACCCCUGUAGUC
Molecule: ribosomal RNA, 465 nt
Filed under: Vreelandella stevensii
Lineage: Bacteria; Pseudomonadati; Pseudomonadota; Gammaproteobacteria; Oceanospirillales; Halomonadaceae
Description: partial 16S ribosomal RNA
Rfam family: Bacterial small subunit ribosomal RNA
Source: RNAcentral